UAAACUACACACUAUUGUUACCGAUUCCUGUCGGUUCUGUCUAGUCCCUACAGUUUCCAACCGGAUUCCCGCCGUACGAGGUUUUUUACGUUAGAAAUCCGCAAAAAUCGGUGUGUGGUUUUAGAGCGGGUUCCGGCGUCAGUCUCGCUUCCGCGGGUAUUAUCUCAGUUUCGGAUCCGUGAUCCGGAUACCCGCGGCGCGGUUGAAGAUGAGUACUGCGAUUUUUUUUUUUUUGAAUUUCGUUGAUUUACUUUAAUUUGAGAGAUAUUUUGGUAAUUUUAUAUGAAAACAAGUUUAAUAUUAUUGUAGAUACAAAUAUAAACCCGCAGCACGAAUUUCCGGUUUCGCUUAACUCAUUUUCUCUCCUUCGCGAGAUCGGUACGGGCCUCGGGUAAAAACGUCUAUUCAUGGCACCGUCGCGAAAACUGGGUUGAAGUUGGAUUUCCUCUUAUGGUUCACUUCCACGAAGCAGUUUGGAAGGAGGGUCGUAGAGUUACAGCCAGAUCAUGUUGGGCAAUACUGUGGGGUGGGUGGUUCGAUGAUGCAAGAACCGUGAGAAAUUAGAAGCAUGAAGGAAUUUGCCAGACAGGUCUUGAAUCCCCGCACAUUAUCUACGCAAUGACAGUUCAAGCUGUAGUGGCAACCAGACGAGAAACUUACACAACAAAACAAGAAGCAAACGCCAUUACUCUUCAAAUUAGGCUGAGCGAGCUGGAGGCUGUAGGGGUGAAUCUCAGAAGGAAUGGUGGCGAGCUGAAGAACACUGCUCGGUUGCUCGCCGU
Tarenaya hassleriana is the source of this 782-nucleotide long non-coding RNA. RefSeq lists it as uncharacterized. NCBI's taxonomy places the organism in Eukaryota, Viridiplantae, Streptophyta, Magnoliopsida, Brassicales, Cleomaceae. The transcript is spliced from 3 exons. The record is from RefSeq and is a predicted model, not a curated record.